AGCUCAGAAUCUUUGAAUCCUUUAACAGGCUGGUGAUAAGCUGUAAAAAUAUUUAGAAAAUUCACUGCAACACCAAGCCAUGACCUUAUUUCCCAGGCAGAAAGAAAUUACCCAUAGCCUGACAUAGGGUACCUGGUUGGAUGUUCAGGUCCGUGUUUUAAAAGGCUUUGAAAACUCAUUUUCAAAAUGAGUAGGGCAUACAAAAUUAAAUUUUUAAAGGUGAAUUACCAGAAUGGAGCAAGGGACAUAGUGGGAUCGUAGCCUCUGGUGUAGUGACCUAACUUAACUAUAAAUCCUUAUAAGGGUUAUAUCCUUAUAUAUCCUUAUAUAUAAAUUGUUAUAAGACCUAACUUAACUAUAAAUGACCUUAACUAUAAAUCAACUGGAUUUAAGUACUAAGAUUACUAAGAUGAUUUCACUUAAAUAUCUAAAUAUCUUUGCUAAUCUAGCUAGGAACUGAGUACUUACUGAAAAUCAAUGGGAAAAUCAAUGUAUGAAUUUGUUCUGGAAAUGCAGCUUGGGUUGAGUGUUAUUGAUCAGACCGUACCUCGGUACUUUGUAAAUUAGCCCAUUUCUGCUCAGGAUAACGCAGAGGGGGGGUGGGACCACUUUUUGAGAUGUGGCUGUAGCCACAUCCAUGGGGGUGGUUUCUAGUUCCCAGCAGAGCUUCUCUGAAAACAUUGCAAGUCUGUAACAUGGAGAAGCGUCAACCAGCCCCUUUACUGCCAAACCCCUCCUGUUUGCACAGGGCUGAGCACAGCGUGGCCUCAGCAGAGCCACUAUUGGCAGAGGCCCCAGCAAGCACAGCCUCAAGGGAUCAGCCCACGCAGAUGUUUGCUGAGAACAUGGAUUAUUCCUGAGUUCUCCUUUUAGAGUGGUACCUUAACCUCAUCUCACAGACCUAUGACAAAGAGGAACUCAUUGCUUUUCUCGGAUGAUUCAUUCCAUUGUCUUUGCUGGAAGCUCAGUUUCUUUCCUUUUUUCUCAGUAUCUCCUGUUAGCCGUGUCCCACGCACCAGGGAUAAGUGAUCUCUGUCAUCUGUCUAGAAUCUUCCAAGAAUCUUCUUUUCCCAAAGGAAAGACAACAGCUCUCCUGCAGCCGUUCCUCAGAGGUCAAGCUCUCGGCAUUGCAUAUUUUUCUUGCUGGUGCCAUCCAGACCCUCCGCAAUUUGUGGUUGUUCAGAGAUGAUUUCCAAAACUGAUCAUAACUGAAACCUUAUCAGUCAUCAGUACAAGGGUCACUGUCUGUGACUUACACGCUGUACCUUGCUGAUACACCCUUCCUUUCUGGAAACGUAAGUCAAAAUUGACUCAUAUUCAGACUGUGAGUUACUUUCUAGUAGCAUUGUUCUCCGUCUUCUCUGUCCAGCUCAUCCUCUUUUUCUCUCUGUACACCUGGCACUGGGGCAGCACUAAUUAGAGCAUUUCAGAUUUGGCUGAAGUCCAUCAUGAUGAUUUCAGAUCAUUUUUCCAAUUUUUUUAUGAUCACUUGGAAUUGUAAUCCUUCAAAAGACUCACAGGUUGAAACUGCCUACAAACUUAUUACCAGGUUUUCUGUUCUCACAUCCAGAUCAUACAGGAUACAGCAAGACCCAGGGAAGCUAUCAAUUAAAACAGCCCAUCUCCUUGAUGGGCUGGAGUCUAUUUUUUAGGUAAUUAUGUGCCUUUGUGAUUCUUGUCUGGCUCGUCUUUCCUUAAUUUGCUUGUGAGACUGUCAUGUGAUGAAGUGUUGACAGGGUUUUUUUUUUAUACCACUUUUGGCUUCAGUUUCUCCCUUACCCUUGAGCCUGUUGUCUGUUAGAGCAAAGAAUGAUGUCUAUUACCUUGAUGUGAUUUCUUCUUUUCCAAUAGAGAACAGGGACUAUGAUGACUGCUUGCUUUAACUUUUUUCUUUUCUCUUUUAUGCUGCUAAAGUAACUACACAGUCACUGAGCCCAGUAUAUUUUGGUACGCUAAAGCCAGCCUAUAUGCUCAAAAAUUCCCAUUUUACAUGCAGGUGCUGUAUUUGGAUGCAGGACCAUUUGUGCCACAGCAAAAAGAAACAGGAAGCUGAGAAAAUGAAGUUUGGUAGGGGCUGUGAUGCAGCAGCCAUUAGAAGAAAACAAACUGAGAGUUAAGCUUUGGUCUCAACCAGAGCUGUUACUAUACGCAAUUGUGGCUGGUCUGGUUGGCUUGUGCUGAGACUGAGGUAGUUUGCCACCAUUGCAGUGCAGAGGCUGAGGUUGCCCUGACGUAACAGUAUGCGCUCACUCUCCAGUUUGCCAGUCCUCCCCUCCACCCUGGGCUCUGCAGUGCGAGCUGUGGCCCCCAGCUGCUCCCAAUCCGCUUAAAGAAAGAGUUGCCCACCAAUGUUUGAUGUAACUUGGCCCUGACAGAGCUGCUUCUGCCUCACUAUUCACAGUGCUGACUGAGCUGUGCUAUGAAAUGAGAGCUGUGAUAAGAGAGAAUUGCAUUUAGGGCAUGCUUCAAUAAGAAAGCAGUGCAUUGUGCAUUGGACACCACACCCUUAAAAUAGCUUAAAAUACCAUUAUCAGGACAGUUUUCCCAGACAGGAGUACCACUUAAGCUCUCUGCUAUACUUCUUCAUUCUGCCUUUCUGCUCAGUGCAUAUGAGUAUUGCUCGGGAACUGAUUUGCAGAGAGGGGCUCGGAAGGGACGCAGCUGCAUGGUGCCUGGUCUGGAGCAUCCCCAGGAAGACCUCAAGCUAUCCCAUUGCCUGUGCAGGGCUGUAACUGCCCUGCUUCUCUGCUGCUUGCCAAAGAGAGGUUCACAUCAGUUAAAUACCUGGCAGAUCCUUGCUCUGACGGCUCCCUGUAAAGUGGCUCUGCAGAGGCAGCGAAGGCCCAGGGGUUGCGUAUUGCCCUGAUGCAGUUCUGAGAGAGGGCUGCACUGCCUCAACAGCUCCUGGGCAUCGCCGGGGGCAAUCCCAGAGCCUCUCCCUCAUCCUAACACUCCAAACAGGGGCUGGGCAAACAGUCCUUCUAAUCCCCAGAGCAGCCUGUUUCCCACAUGAGUAACUCUUCGGCAUGCAUGGUGUCUGACAUUUCUCGGACAUAGCCCCUGCGGCUGAGCCAGGGGCAGGAUACUGCAUGGCCACAUUCCAAUGACUGGAUCUCAGACCUAAAGAGAAGUUGUCACCUCUACGUUGUUCCUUUAUGAUCCAAGGGCUGACAGCUGCUCAAAGCUUGCUGAGCAUCACCCAAGGGUCAAGCAACUCACGGGCAGGAGGCAAACCCUGCACCUGAAAACAACACCGAGAGCUGAGGAAAGUUGCUGAUAAGUGCAUGAAGCAUCAGGAAACUGAAGUGUUUUUGCAAGGUUUAGGAUAAAGCAAUGAAGCUGAGUGGUUUUCAGGAAGGCAGAGAAGAGCAUACAAGCAGGCAGGUUAAACUAGGGUAUUAUGAAGUGUCCUUAUUUGUAGUGGGGAAGGCCACUGUCAGACUUGAGACUGUAUGUUAAGGUGGUAGAAGAGGAAACUGUGCAGGGGUACAAUAUCUUGUAAUCAUAGAAUCAUAGAAUCAUUAAGGUUGGAAGAGACCUCUAAGAUCAUCUAUCCUGUCAACCCAACCCCACCAUGCCCACUAACCACAUCCCUCGGUGCUGCAUCCACACGGUUCUUGAACACCUCCAGGGAUGGUGACUCCACCACCUCCCUGGGCAGCCUGUGCCACUGCAUCACCGCUUUUUCUGAGAAGAAAUUUUUCCUAAUAUUCGUACUGAAUCCUUACACUUUACCCAAUUAUAAAGAGCGACUUUGCCCCAACAAAUAAGGGAAAGGUAUUAAUCUCAUGAUAUGCAGCUUUUCCUCCAGGCAACCAAUGUUUCUCACUCUGUGAUCACUAAGGAGGCAGCAAGUGGUCUCACUUCAUUUUCAAACAGCCAUGUGUCCACACAUCAGCCUCGGCAGCAUUGUUCAGAUCAUGGAAGAACAUAAGUCCAAAGUCUACAAUUCCUGCUGAUCCACAACUGAUAAAGGCUGCAUAUGGUAAUUUGUAGCAAUUAAGAUCUCAAAGAUAGGAGAGCAGCAGAAGCUGAUGGAGGGAUAAUGCCAGAACAAAGCGAAGCUCGUGCCAUUUCUCAAAAAUUAAAUGUUUUCUGUUUAGCUAUUGCUGAAGCAAAUAUGAUUCUCUGACAGCUUCAAGUUGUCAUCUCUAUGGAAAAAGGAAAAAGAGCGGGAAGAAAGAGAUGUGACUAGCAAAACCAGACUUUUUUUUUAUGAUCCUGAGCUAAAUCCAGUUCCCACUGAAGCUGCUGAAUUUGCUGAGAGCAAGGUUGAAGCCGUACUAUAAAGCUGUAAUUCCUCCACAUCGUUCUGGGCAGAAUUGCCAUCAAUCCAGCCACAGAAUAUCCAGCUGUAAAUGCAAAUGCGUUAUGACAUCAAUACCGUCUCACAAGUAAGCAGAACGGAAUGGCAGCAUCCUUCCUGAAAUGUUGACUCACGGGGAAUGUGGAGCCGGUGAUAAACGUUGCAGAUCUUCAAACAGAACUUCUCUGUUUUUGCUGCUCUGUUUAAUUGAAUUUUCUUCUCUCUCUUUUCUCAAAGGCAGCUCCUGAAAAUAAAACAGCUCUGUCUCGAGCACACCAUGUUCCUUUGCUGAAAUUCAUUGGCUCAGCACAAACACAACUGACUCAUUGUAUUAGGAAGUAUUUUACUGUAUAUUCUGUCUCUUGUUUCUUACUUUCCUGUUAUUCUCAGGUCUUUUGAUGGCAGGUGGUUUAGAGAAAAAAAGCAGAAAUUACAAAUGGUGAAAGUUACAUAAAACAUCUGGCCAGGUCCUCAACAGAUAUAAAUUGUCUUUGUAACAUUUGCAGGUGCUGGAAAACAGGCUUUACCAAAUCAAAGCACUCUUUGUUUUCUAAUAGGUUUCUGCUACACAGAGAGACUGGAAAAGAGAUUUAUUUCCGCUGUAGCAGCAUGCCCUUGAUUAACCUCAUUUGCAGCAGCUAUUUCAAUUAAAGAGCUAACACCAACACUGACUUCUAAGCGUUGCUAAGUGUGAUACCUGUCUGCUCAUGUAUCAUUGACUUCUUUCAAGCCAUUUUCUGUCACUGCAGAAGCAAGCAAGAUGUAUGCUGUGCAUGAAUCCCACAUCAUCAUUAGCAGAAAAUUACACCAAACUGCUGUAAAGUAAUUACACUGCCGAGAGGUGAGCCGGGAGGAAGGCAGUGAUUAAAUACGUGCCACCAGUGCUAAGCCCACACCACACAGUGUUUUGCUCAGAGGCUUUCAAUCUAUUUUCCAAUUGCUGGCCAGUGCCACAGUCUGAACCACACCUUCACUCAGGUCAUGGAAUUAUGCUCAGCCCUUUGUCAUACUAAAUUAAUUUUAUUCCGGUCUCAUACAGCAGAAUACAGAACAAUGGUAGUUUUUAUACAGUAACUUGGGGUUGCUCUUGCACCACUCAGCUCUUCAUACCGAAAUCUUUCACAGUCUCUUGCAGAGGUGCUGCUGCUACAGCAAUCCAUUUUGAUCGCACUGCAGCAUAGCUAUCUGUCAUAUAAAGAAUGUGAACAGUGCAAAGGUUUGGAAAUGAUGCGAUCGGAAUUACCAACAUAAAACUCUGACUGAGAGAAAGACCUGGGAGCAAGGACUGAGGAAGCAAUAAGAAAACUGUACUCUGUAUCUUCCCUCCAAAUGAUCACAAACAAUGGCAAGCUUAACCUUUGAUGUGCCUGUGAGAAAUAUAUCUGUGUUGUUGAAUGCUAUUUGAAGCAACGAGAUGUUAUCAUCAAUAACCGAGAAGCGAGCAGUGCACCCUCCAGAACAUGGAGAAGUCACAUUCCUUAUCCAGAGAGGCCCACCACUAGGACACAAAAGGAGACCAUGUGAGGCAAAUGAAAGCUAGCACUCCUGGAGAGGACUGAAAGCCAUGGCAUAUUAUAAGACUCAUUAUAAGGUAAGCUGCCUGUGAUUUAAAGAGAUUUUCAUCCUUAUUAAUAUAAAUGAUUCAUUGUGAGGAGCUGAAGUAAGCAUUAUUAACCCUCAUCUAAUGGCUGGAGUUACAGAAUUAUGCACUGAAACACAUUCGGGUAACUACAGGUGCAGAUGUGUUUGUAUAUUCAUAAAUAUCUUGUGUAUAUUUAUGCAAGAUCUUGGGACUCAUACAGAGCUCUGAGAAAGUUGUUUUCUUUGUUCUUUGCUUCCGAAAGGAACUCAUAAAACAAAAUCCUGGUCCGUGGGUAGCAUUCUUACAUGAUAUUGUAGUAUAAAAAAUUAGAAUAAUGGUUUAGUAUGGAAGCCUGCAAUCAGAAGCAAUAGAAUAAAAAAAUGUAGCUUUAUAGACUAUUUUAUUUCUUCUUUCUAAGUUAGACAGGAAUUAUUCUAUUUUAUUUUUUUUUUUAAAUAGCAUAUUCUUCUUUAUGGGAUGAAAGACAACAGUUAAAAAAAACAAACAUGCUAUAAUAGCAUCCAAUUUCUCCAGCAAACAGGGCAUAUAAAAGACUUAAAUAAAUCAGCUUAUGCUUCUGAAUGAUUCAAAGAAUAACAGAAAUGCAAAAAACCCUGCAUUCCAACACUCUUAGAGAGCUUCAGUGAAUAAAUAAUCUGCUUCCUCCACUAAUGCUAUGAAGCUAUUGUUUGGUGUCUCUGUAGGAAAUAGUUUAAUCUACUCAUAAGCUUAAAAGUUAAUCUUUCCAAUAGAACGCAUACUCAUUCAUCAGGAAUUAGGCAUUACACCUCUACAGAGGUAACAUGAAUUUUUGAGACAAAGUACAGAAUGUCUAAAAACAAAGAGGUCUGUUUUCUACUCAGUGCUCGAGAAAGAUACGUGAGUUAUGCUGCUUGUGGGAGUCAUCCCCAUAAACUCCUUUUGUAGCUUUGAUAGACCAUCAGAGUCAGAUUACCUCUUUUUUUUUUCCCCUCUUCAGCUCUACACUCUUGUUUUUAUUGGCUAGAGAAUGCAAUAUUGAGUAGAAAGUGAACUGCUUUGUAUCACAUGGUAUUUUGCACAAGUAAUGCUCAGCUACUAUAGCGACUGGCAUUCCAAAAAGUGCUGGUAUGACAGCAAUGUGAGUAUAAGACUAUUUAAGUCAAGCUGGGACACAGCCAGUUCUUUUCAUGAAUAGUUCACGUGCCCUUCUCAUAGAAACGUUUACUUCAACAUUAAAUCUGAAAACUUGUACUUGACAAACACUAAAGUGAGCCUGUGGUCACUAACCUUGGUAUAGAAGUUCACAUGGCAUGCAGUGAACAUGAAAUAACAUAAAUCCAACCCCCAAAAGCUGGAAUUCUGUCAUCUAGGGAAGAAGGCUCUCUCACUGGGAAGUGCAGCAACUGGAUGACAGCAGUGUUUCUGCUAUGCACAUGACAAAAAAUUACAGCCCCAGCUCCAGGAAAGGGCUAGCUUUCACCUAAAGCUCCAGUGUUAAGAGAAACUCUUUCUAAAGUUAGAAUCCCAAACCUCACAUACAAUGAAUUCCAUGGAACUGUUACAAAUCAUACUAGCCAUAAAUGCCUGAAAGAGUACUAACCCCUUGGUGUUUUAACUACUUAGAUUAGACUGUCCCUAAAGAGGCAGAGAGCUCAUUCGUGGCCAGAGAAAAAUCAUCCUCAGUCAGCAGGGAAGGAGAGGCUGCAGGAUUAGCAACUGUACCUGAUG
Long non-coding RNA from Gallus gallus (chicken), 7598 nucleotides. RefSeq lists it as uncharacterized. The record is from RefSeq and is a predicted model, not a curated record. Lineage: Eukaryota; Metazoa; Chordata; Aves; Galliformes; Phasianidae. The transcript is spliced from 3 exons.